This 585-nucleotide ribosomal RNA is filed under the name uncultured bacterium. RNAcentral's name for it is "bacterial SSU rRNA". It matches the Rfam family "Bacterial small subunit ribosomal RNA", at positions 341 to 916 of the family's 1533-position model. The record is from RNAcentral.
ACGGGAGGCAGCAGUGGGGAAUUUUGCGCAAUGGGCGAAAGCCUGACGCAGCAACGCCGCGUGAGUGAUGAAGGCUUUCGGGUCGUAAAGCUCUGUCGAGGGGAAAGAAGUGUAUUGUGGCUAAUAUCCACGAUACUUGACGGUACCCCUAAAGGAAGCACCGGCUAACUCCGUGCCAGCAGCCGCGGUAAUACGGGGGGUGCAAGCGUUGUUCGGAAUUAUUGGGCGUAAAGAGCGUGUAGGCGGUUUGUUAAGUCUGUUGUGAAAGCCCUGGGCUCAACCCAGGAAGUGCACUGGAUACUGGCAGACUUGAAUACGGGAGAGGGUAGUGGAAUUCCUAGUGUAGGAGUGAAAUCCGUAGAUAUUAGGAGGAACACCGGUGGCGAAGGCGGCUACCUGGACCGAUAUUGACGCUGAGACGCGAAAGCGUGGGUAGCAAACAGGAUUAGAUACCCUGGUAGUCCACGCCGUAAACGAUGAGAACUAGGUGUUGCGGGUAUUGACCCCUGCAGUGCCGCAGCUAACGCAUUAAGUUCUCCGCCUGGGAAGUACGGUCGCAAGACUAAAACUCAAAGGAAUUGACGG